This is a small nuclear RNA of Rattus norvegicus (Norway rat), 158 nucleotides long. Ensembl annotates it as U2 spliceosomal RNA. The record is from Ensembl. NCBI's taxonomy places the organism in Eukaryota, Metazoa, Chordata, Mammalia, Rodentia, Muridae.
AUCGCUUCUCGGCCUUUUGGCUAAGAUCAAGUGUUGAAUGAUGACUUAUAUCUAACAUGAUCUGAUCUAUUACUAAUACAUUCAUGUGAGGAUUUUUUCAUACAUGUAUUAUCAUGUAAUCUUGAUAAGAACAAAAGAUGAUGGUUUGAGAAUGACUA